RNAcentral lists this ribosomal RNA (496 nucleotides) under uncultured bacterium. Its description in RNAcentral is "partial 16S ribosomal RNA". It matches the Rfam family "Bacterial small subunit ribosomal RNA", at positions 29 to 523 of the family's 1533-position model. The record is from RNAcentral.
AUUGAACGCUGGCGGCAUGCCUUACACAUGCAAGUCGAACGGUAGAGGGGGCAACCCCUCGAGAGUGGCGAACGGGUGAGUAAUGCAUCGGAACGUGCCCAGUAGUGGGGGAUAGCCCGGCGAAAGCCGGAUUAAUACCGCAUGAGACCUACGGGUGAAAGGGGGGGAUCGCAAGACCUCUCGCUAUUGGAGCGGCCGAUGUCAGAUUAGGUAGUUAGUGGGGUAAAGGCCUACCAAGCCGACGAUCUGUAGCUGGUCUGAGAGGACGACCAGCCACACUGGGACUGAGACACGGCCCAGACUCCUACGGGAGGCAGCAGUGGGGAAUUUUGGACAAUGGGCGAAGGCCUGAUCCAGCCAUGCCGCGUGCGGGAAGAAGGCCUUCGGGUUGUAAACCGCUUUUGUCAGGGAAGAAAUCCUUUGAGCUAAUACCUCGGGGGGAUGACGGUACCUGAAGAAUAAGCACCGGCUAACUACGUGCCAGCCGCCGCAGUAA